This 110-nucleotide ribosomal RNA is filed under the name Pseudomonas sp. RNAcentral describes it as "partial 16S ribosomal RNA". It matches the Rfam family "Bacterial small subunit ribosomal RNA", at positions 1 to 104 of the family's 1533-position model. RNAcentral also lists the same sequence under 3 other names. The record is from RNAcentral. Lineage: Bacteria; Pseudomonadati; Pseudomonadota; Gammaproteobacteria; Pseudomonadales; Pseudomonadaceae.
AGAUCGAACUAUAGAGUUUGAUCCUGGCUCAGAUUGAACGCUGGCGGCAUGCCUUACACAUGCAAGUCGAACGGCAGCACGGGAGCAAUCCUGGUGGCGAGUGGCGAACG